UACCAUUCUGAAAAGGAUGCUAAUACCGCAUGACAUAUCGGACCACAUGGUUCUGAUAUCAAAGAUUUUAUCGCUUGAAGAUGGACUCGCGUCCGAUUAGUUAGUUGGUGAGGUAACGGCUCACCAAGACCGCGAUCGGUAGCCGGACUGAGAGGUUGAACGGCCACAUUGGGACUGAGACACGGCCCAGACUCCUACGGGAGGCAGCAGUGGGGGAUAUUGCGCAAUGGGGGCAACCCUGACGCAGCAACGCCGCGUGAAGGAUGAAGGUUUUCGGAUUGUAAACUUCUUUUAUUAAGGACGAAAAAUGACGGUACUUAAUGAAUAAGCUCCGGCUAACUACGUGCCAGCAGCCGCGGUAAUACGUAGGGAGCAAGCGUUGUCCGGAUUUACUGGGUGUAAAGGGUGCGUAGGCGGCUUUGCAAGUCAGAUGUGAAAUCUAUGGGCUCAACCCAUAAACUGCAUUUGAAACUGUAGAGCUUGAGUGAAGUAGAGGCAGGCGGAAUUCCCCGUGUAGCGGUGAAAUGCGUAGAGAUGGGGAGGAACACCAGUGGCGAAGGCGGCCUGCUGGGCUUUAACUGACGCUGAGGCACGAAAGCGUGGGUAGCAAACAGGAUUAGAUACCCUGGUAGUCCACGCUGU
RNAcentral lists this ribosomal RNA (642 nucleotides) under uncultured bacterium. RNAcentral's name for it is "bacterial SSU rRNA". It matches the Rfam family "Bacterial small subunit ribosomal RNA", at positions 144 to 803 of the family's 1533-position model. The record is from RNAcentral.